UCUCAAAAAUAGGAUUUUGAUGAUGGACAAAAGAUGACAAACAUCAUCUUCCUCUUUCAAACCACAAAUUUUCUGAAAGUUGCUCUGUUUUUUGACAGCUACUUUCAAGCUUUUAAGCUUCGAUUUCACCCAAUCUAGCCCAAAGCCACUCAAAUUUCUUCUACAAAACUCAUUAACUACCUCUAAAUUAAAUUACCCCAAUAAGUUAGAGUUCACAAAUUACCUUGGAUAGCUUAAAAUUUCAAUUGAAUCUCGACUACCCUAUUUCUGCGAAAUUUUGCACAACCCAUUGUUUUCCUCAAAAUUGAUGGCCUUCCCAAAUUCGUUCUCCUUAAGCAGUCCUUGAAGUUCUUCCUUACUCGAUUCUUUUCAACAUUCAUGAAGCAAAUAUCCCAAUUGAUCAACUGGUUUGAGAGAAAUUCUUCAAAUUCUUUACAGGGGAGAGAGAUUUAAAAGAGAAAAUCAAGACCAAAAUAGAUGGAAGGAAAAGAAGAGGACGUAGACGCCGAUGGAGCGGAGCUCACAAGAAAACUAAAACCCUGUAAUUUAAGAGCCUUGUCCCGAUGAAAGAUUCAUUUUGCAGUUUCUGUAAAAGAUUUGUCUUCAAUGAUUGGUGCAUCAUAACUGCUACUCGAACAAGCUCCCGUCCUCCAUCAUUUUACGGAAUUGAUGAGAAGUGUUCUUUGGCUUUUUGUUUCGGUUUAUUGCAGCCGAUAUCAAUGAUAGGUGUAUUCUGUUAGUGAAGAGACUGCACGUGGGAUCUUGUGGUCUAAAACUUACCACAAGGAGAAGAGUAGGCAAAACACCUUAAUCUUGGUGUUGCUAAGUAUGAAGAUCAAGACAACUGCUUAUUUUGUCAACUCCCUAUGAUGGCAUUUUGGUUGCUAAUUGCUUCCAUGCUCAGCAUCUUAGUCAUUUCUUUCGAUUUGCACCAGAAAAAGAAUGAUAUUGCUUCAUUGACCAAUCUCCGUGGGACAGGGACCGGAAGUUGUUAUCUAUAUCAAACUCUUCUUUGGAGUUUUUUCAUCCGUUCAAAUUUGGAGGAGUGAUUUAAGAUGGCUACACGUUUCAGAAUAGCCAAAGCUGACUGAUUUUUCGGUCAAGUAACCAGCUUGGCCAUAUUGCUAAUGCAAACAAGAUUGUCAAAGAGAAACUCACGCCAACGCAGUUGGCCAUGUUCAAGAGAACAGUUUUUGGGUGAUUUGUUGAUGUUGAUAUGGUGUUUAACAGCUCAAUUGUCCAUCAUAUGUUACUUAGAGAAGUGAAGGGGACAAAAUCAGACUCAAUGUCAUUCUCUGUCUGUGGGAAGGUUGACACCUUUUCGAAGGAUGACUUUUUGGUGAUGACUGAUUUGUAGCAAUCCCCAUCACGAGUUGAUUGGAACCAGCAGUCCUCAUAUGAACUUGCUAUCAAGUAUUUUGGUAAUCGAGUGACGAAGGACACUUUACACCUUCGUGAACUUGAAGAAAAAUACAGGGACUUAGAGUUUGAAAAUGAUGAUGAUGCUGUGAAGAUUAGCCUAGUUUACUAUACUGAGGUCACAAUGAUGGGGAAAAUAAACAGAAAAAUGCCGUCAACCUCAAACGUUUCAAGGACGUUCAAAACUUGGAGUACUAGUCUUGAUUGGGGUACCAUUAUUUGGGAGAGGACAUUGGAUGCCCUAAAGACUUCCUUGAAUGAUAAGAGCAGUCUAUACAAGACGAGGGUCAAAGCAAAUAAAAACUACGUUGUGAAGUACUCCUUACGUGGAUUUCCACAAGCGUUCCAGGUAUGGACGUACGAGAUCCUAGCUUUAUCGAUAGCUGAGAACAUUGCGGAGCGAAGGAGCAAGGUGGCUUUGCCCUGCAUAUUACGAUGGUCAUGCUCCCACUCAGUGUCCUUCAAAGUACUUGAGAGAGAGAUAUUUGAGUCUAACAAUAUAAAGGUUAAAGAGGGCAUUGUGAUGUCAGAUGUUGAAAGAGAGUUUCGGGAUACCCCAGUGGAACGACGACCUAUAUUUAAGCUAGGUACGGAUGAUGAUAGUUCUGAAAGUGGAAAUAGUUCGACGAGUGAGGGGGUAGUCCCGAGAGUGAAAGUGGCAGUGAUGACCAUCGUGGAGAUGACAAUGAUGAGGUUGUCAGGAUGGAGGGAGGGGAUGAACCCGAGCAUUCUGAGCACGAGGAUGCUAAAUAUGGAAGGGUGGAAGGAGGGAUAUACACAUGUAGUGAUGAUAUGUUCCAUGAUAUGACGGGGGAUGUACGCAAGGAGGACGAGUUGAACCAAGUUGAUGUCUUUCUUGCAGACUCUGGUAUAGAGCGACCUGUGGAUGAGGAGUGUCCUGAGCGUGCUGCCCGCCACAGAGAGGGAGCCAAUGUCGAUGAGUCUAUUUAUUCAUACCUGCGGUCCAAUGACAGCUCACUAUCGAGGUUGGAUGGUCGUAUAUCGGGUUUAGAUAGUCGUGUAUCUAGUAUGGAGGAAAACAUGACUGACAUGAAAGGGCAAUUGUCGGCCAUCCUGUCAUUGUUGCAGUCUAUGUAUAAGGGUUCUACGGUGAAUGAGGAGACGACCAGAUCACCCAUCCCAUAUCGGGAUCCCGAUAUGACUGCGACUGCCUCUGACACUCCUAUCCCCAUCCCCCUUCUAUAGCCCGAUACCACCACUUUACCUACUCCCACCCCCCUGUACAGCCCGUUACCACCACUGCCACGACAUCACCGAUUGACGUCGAACCUAUACUGGCUGACGUCCCACAAACAGAGUCUGACAUGUCUGUCUUACUUACCAUGCCACAUACAGAGGCUAACAUGUCUGGCAUCCCAGAGGCAGACACUUAUGGGAUUGUUACGACCAUAGAAGGAGUUCCACUGAUGAGAAUCUCGAAGAAUUAAUCGUAAGAGAAAACCGGUUGAUAAAUAUAUACCCCCAGCCCAAGUAAAGAAGAAAAGUGUGGCUAAACAUCCUUUCCCAGAUGUAGCUACGUCAAUAUCCAGAUCGAUCGUCACAUAUAACGUAGCACAUGAUGUUCCACACAAUAUCCUGACAGAAAUGAUGGGCUGGAUCUCAGACGACAAUACAGACAAUGAGGUUCGAGAGAACUCCAUCAAACCACUCGCCAAGCAAUUCUCCAAGGAAUUGAUUACCCCGAAUUCGUUGGUCGAGUGCGAUAUAAAUUUUAUACCCGUCCCGACAUGUGCAUGCACAAGUUCACCAUCUUGCCAAUUGGUUUAACGAGUCACCUUAAUGCUCGUGGCGGGGUAUUUAAAUGAAUAAAGAAUAAGUCACUUCUGGAGGCUGCCCUAGCUUAGGAAGAUGAAGACACGUAUAAGGACUACGUCACCGGUAAAUUCGAUGUCAAAUGGGCAGAUGUGGAUUUCGUUUAUACGAAGAUGAAUAACAGUUCUGGAUGAUCCUUGCAAUGGACAUUAACAGAGGCCACAUAUUUUUGUUCGAUUCACUUCCGUCAUACACACCAAUGACAAAGCUGGUGAAUUGGCUAGAGCCAUUGACGGUCAUAGUACCAUCCUUACUUCACUAUUGUGACAUGGAUCGAUCGAAGCCAGACCUAUCCACAGCCCGUUGAAUCUCGCGACCUAUAAACGUCGACAUAUAACACGGGUCGCUUGAUUGUGGCAUCUUCGCAAUAAAACUACUGGAACACUUGGUGACUGGUGCUGAUCCAUUUGUAAUCACUCAGGAGAAGAUGAGUGAAUAUAGGAUGCAAUUAGCGUGUCAGCUAUGGGCAAA
This is a non-coding RNA of Benincasa hispida (wax gourd), 3723 nucleotides long. NCBI's taxonomy places the organism in Eukaryota, Viridiplantae, Streptophyta, Magnoliopsida, Cucurbitales, Cucurbitaceae. The record is from RefSeq and is a predicted model, not a curated record.